AUGUGUUUAUCAAAUUUUUUUGUUGAUGAGAACUAAAUAUGUCUUUGAUUAUGAAAGUUCUACAAUACAGCCACCGUAUGCACAGCAAAGUAUUAUCCAAAUUUAAAAUACCAAUGUGUAUGUCGAUUUAAGUCUUGGAUCAGCGGGUUUGGCGCAUGAUCUCUCACAAGUAAGUAUAUUGCGACUAAUGAAAAAGUGUUGGAAAGGCAUAAAUAUAAGAGAA
This 223-nucleotide long non-coding RNA is filed under the name Ananas comosus (pineapple). Its description in RNAcentral is "long non-coding RNA (ACOM_LNC008082)". The record is from RNAcentral. Lineage: Eukaryota; Viridiplantae; Streptophyta; Magnoliopsida; Poales; Bromeliaceae.